CGUUGAGGGGCUUUGUGGCGUCACAGAAGCGAUGCUGUCCUGCAGCGCCUCCUUCUCUGGCUCUCAUCGCCUGCCUUCCACCCACAGGCUGGUGCUGCAGCCGCGGUGAUGUCACUUCGAGACCUCUGAGGAGACCUUCCUGACCCAGGAAUCGAACAUGCGUCUCCUGAACCAUGGGAGCAUUCUUUACCUGCUGAGACAUCGGGAAGCCUGCUGCUGAAAUAUUCCACGUCCCCAGAGCCAGAGGCCCAAGAAAGAAAACCAGCUGGGACUCUGAUGACAAUGACCCCCAAGUGGCUGGUCCAGAGCAACGAAGUGGCCGUGGUACCCUGACCAUUGACAUCAUCUGCUCCUGACCUGCAGCCAUCAAUGAUCCAAGAUCACUCAAAGCAGAUACAUCUCCUUCUGAGUUUCACCCAAAGUCAAUAGUAGCCUCAAGAGCACACUAAAUCAACUUAAUGCAGAUGGAGACAACAGAAGAAUAGAUAUAACUAUUCAUCACGGCAGAGGGUCGGACAUGACUCAACGACGGAACAACAGCCACAGACAAUUCAUCAUGGCGGCCAGCAACAAGGACGCGUCUGGGAUCGUCCAUGAGAUUCCUUACAAGCCAGAGAUGAAAAUCUAGGUUAUUUGAAGGUGUAUUCCUGAUGUAUCCGUGGAGAGAGAUGUACUCCACGUCCACCAACUCCUCUGCCAUCUUUGAAUUUCUCUAGUAUCUGCAAAGUUGCGAUCUUCUGGCUGAAGGGGGAUGGAGUCGAGGCCAGCUUUGCCCAGUGCCAGCACGCCUGGCAAAUUCCGAUAGGAUCUCCUUAGUCGCCAUAGAGUUUCCGAGCAUCCCAAGGAAAAUGCAUGAAGCUGGAGCCCAUGCAGCUGGCACCGAACUGUCAGCUGUGGCGCGGUGAUUCCCAGCUUGUCACUCCCAGAGGCUGGGUUGGUCACGACCCUGGGACUGGAGAGUCCAUUUGUAAAAUAGAGUGGAGUACACGCGGAAUCCUAGCUAGCGAUUUCUUGGCUUGAGACUCUUGGGUCUACUGGAUUCCUUUUUAUUUCCUGAAAGCCAUGGGGUGAGCCAGUGGUCGCCAGUCGCAUCUAAGCAGAUGCUGCUCCAGCUUUGCCAAAUCUCGGCUAUUAGAAUCAGUUCCUUGGGCAUCCCUGGUCAGUAAAGUUUAGGCCUGUCUCAGUGCUUAAGGGUGGGGGAUAAAACAGGCAGAGACCUAAGUCUCCACUGGAAACGUGAUAGUGGUGGAGUGAUGGGGUUGUAAGAAAGAGGCCAUUCUGAGUGAUAGGUUAUCUUUCAAAGGAAGGAAAAGUACUGGACAAGGAAGCAUACUAUCUAGAUCAAGGAAUGCAUGUCUAAAGGGCUACAGAGAAGGGGAAGAGAAGCAGGCUCCCUGAGCACAGGGAAAGCAAGGAGAUUGAGGCUGAUAGCCCAUAUCCAUUAAUCCCCUAGGGAAGCUUGUGAAAUAGGGGAGUAUGUGGAGGAAGGGUGGCCCUUAAUAAUUUGUCUGUUCUUUAAAAAAAUCUUUUUAAAACUGAAGUGUAGUUGAUUUAUAAUGCUGUUUUAGUUUUGGGUGCAUGGCAAAGUGAUCCAUUUAUACAUGCAUAUAUAUCUGUUUUUUUUUGUUUUUUCAGAUUCUUUUCUCUUAUUUUUUUUUUUCUCUUAUAGGUUAUUACAAAAUAUUGAGUAUAGUUCAAUAAGGGUCUAUUCUUUGACUGCUCUGUGCGCUAGGAAGGCAUUUGGCUGUCUGCUCUUGUCUUAGGCCAGUACUAAGAUAUUAAGCCAGUACCUCUUAUAAUUAGCAUGUUGCCUGUGGUUUCCCCUCUCUUCAGCUAUUCCCCCCCUCCCCAGCCUGUUUCAGGGUUUUCUUCCUAUGAGGAUUCCUAUUGUCUUAUUCUAUCAAAUGUUAUUCCUGUGAGUGAGGUUUGUUCAGUACCUUCUUCCCUUUCUCUAAAGUACCUGGACUGAACUCCUGAUGCUUCUUUAAAGAAGCAACAAUAAAUGAAGAUGAACAAUUAUUUAUUGAGCAUCUACCCAAUAUGUGUAAGGCCCUGGGAAAGCCACGACCAGUGAAACAGUCUUUCCCUUAAGAAGGGGACAUCCUCUUAGGGAGGCACCUUUUAAGAGGGGAAAAUACAAUUACAAGCAAGUGUAUAUAAUAUAAUGUGCGUGCAUGCCCAGUCCCUUCAGUCCUGUCUGACUCUCUGUGACCUGUGGACCAUA
Bubalus bubalis (water buffalo) is the source of this 2224-nucleotide long non-coding RNA. RefSeq lists it as uncharacterized. Lineage: Eukaryota; Metazoa; Chordata; Mammalia; Artiodactyla; Bovidae. The transcript is spliced from 5 exons. The record is from RefSeq and is a predicted model, not a curated record.